AGCGCCCAUGGGACACAGCUGGGGGGGCGCACAGCAGGGCGCAGCUCGUCCCCCUCUGCAACCACAGUGACCCAGGGGUGUGGGUUAGGGUUAUGGUUGUGGUUAUGGUUAAGGUUAUGGUUAAGGUUAUGGUUAUGGUUAAGGUUAAGGUUAUGCUUAAGGUUAUGGUUAGGGUUAGGGUUAUGGUUAUGAUUGGGUUUAUAGUUAUGGUUAGGUUUAAGGUUAAGGUUAGGGUUAAGGUAAGGGUUAGGUUUAGGGUCAGGUGGCCAUUGCCACACACUGCCAGAAAUGGCACCGACCUCUUCUAGGAGAGCACACGGCAGCUUUGGCUCUUUGUGAUGGAAAUGCGGCCCCGCGGGAGCAAAAGGCUGAAGUGCUCCCGGUGCUGCUCCAACCUCUGCCGGGGAUUCAGAGCACCUCAUUGACAAUGAUAUUUUUUAUUCUGAAAUGGAAGAAAGCAGCCGCUAUCUGUACAAACAAAAUUAGGCCAAAGGAGGAAAGUAAUUUUGUAAAAGAAAUAGGGAGAUGCAGGGAG
RNAcentral lists this long non-coding RNA (535 nucleotides) under Gallus gallus (chicken). Its description in RNAcentral is "lncRNA (ENSGALG00010017846.1)". The record is from RNAcentral. Lineage: Eukaryota; Metazoa; Chordata; Aves; Galliformes; Phasianidae.